GCUCAUUUCAGCGAACAUAUACUAAAAUUAGAACAAUACAGAGAUUAGCAUGGCCCUUGUGCAAUGAUGAUGCACAAAUUUGUGUUCAUAUAAAAUGUAUAU
This is a small nuclear RNA of Cebus imitator (Panamanian white-faced capuchin), 102 nucleotides long. The record is from RefSeq and is a predicted model, not a curated record. NCBI's taxonomy places the organism in Eukaryota, Metazoa, Chordata, Mammalia, Primates, Cebidae.